Molecule: ribosomal RNA, 465 nt
Filed under: Vreelandella stevensii
Lineage: Bacteria; Pseudomonadati; Pseudomonadota; Gammaproteobacteria; Oceanospirillales; Halomonadaceae
Description: partial 16S ribosomal RNA
Rfam family: Bacterial small subunit ribosomal RNA
Source: RNAcentral
CCUACGGGGGGCAGCAGUGGGGAAUAUUGGACAAUGGGGGGAACCCUGAUCCAGCCAUGCCGCGUGUGUGAAGAAGGCCCUCGGGUUGUAAAGCACUUUCAGUGAGGAAGAACGCCUGGUGGUUAAUACCCAUCAGGAAAGACAUCACUCACAGAAGAAGCACCGGCUAACUCCGUGCCAGCAGCCGCGGUAAUACGGAGGGUGCGAGCGUUAAUCGGAAUUACUGGGCGUAAAGCGCGCGUAGGUGGCUUGAUAAGCCGGUUGUGAAAGCCUCGGGCUCAACCUGGGAACGGCAUCCGGAACUGUCAAGCUAGAGUGCAGGAGAGGAAGGUAGAAUUCCCGGUGUAGCGGUGAAAUGCGUAGAGAUCGGAAGGAAUACCAGUGGCGAAGGCGGCCUUCUGGACUGACACUGACACUGAGGUGCGAAAGCGUGGGUAGCAAACAGGAUUAGAUACCCGAGUAGUC